RNAcentral lists this ribosomal RNA (289 nucleotides) under Chloropicon mariensis. RNAcentral describes it as "partial Bacterial large subunit ribosomal RNA". It matches the Rfam family "Bacterial large subunit ribosomal RNA", at positions 2622 to 2925 of the family's 2925-position model. Lineage: Eukaryota; Viridiplantae; Chlorophyta; Chloropicophyceae; Chloropicales; Chloropicaceae. The record is from RNAcentral.
UGAGACAGUUCGGUCCCUAUCUGCCGUGGGCGUUGGAAAUUUGAAGGGGGCUGCUCCUAGUACGAGAGGACCGGAGUGGACGAACCUCUGGUGUUCGGGUUGUGACGCCAGUCGCAUUGCCCGGUAGCUAUGUUCGGACAGGAUAACCGCUGAAAGCAUCUAAGUGGGAAGCCAACUUCAAGAUGAGUACUCUCUUUAUAAGACCACAGCAAGACUAGCUGUUUGAUAGGUAUCAAGUGUAAGCCGUGUAAGCGGUGUAGCUGAGAUAUACUAACAGGUCGAACGAGUU